This 813-nucleotide ribosomal RNA is filed under the name Triticum aestivum (bread wheat). RNAcentral describes it as "partial small subunit ribosomal RNA". The record is from RNAcentral. Lineage: Eukaryota; Viridiplantae; Streptophyta; Magnoliopsida; Poales; Poaceae.
AUGGAAGGAGCCAUCUCCAGCGUGCCAAACACGAGGAUUGCCGUCGUCACCGGCGGGAACAAGGGGAUCGGCUUCGAGGUGUGCUGGCAACUAGCCAGCGGUGGAAUCACGGUCGUUCUGACGGCCCGGGACGAGACGAGGGGCGCGGAGGCAGUCGAGAAGCUCAUAGCGCUCGGGGUCACCAACGUCGUCUUCCAUCAGCUGGAUGUCACGGACACUUCCAGCAUUGCUACACUGGUCGAUUUCCUGAAGACACGCUUUGGCAAACUAGAUAUUCUGAUGUACCCUGUUAAUUUGCAGGUGAACAAUGCCGCAAUCGGUGGGGUUGAGUACCUCCAAGAACUCGACACCAGCGAGGAGACGUUCGCUGGCAUGGAUUUCGACCAGAUGCUUGAAUGGAUGGUGAAGAACGUCCGUGAGCGCAUCGACAGUGCAAAGAAAGGCGUGCAGACGAACUACUACGGCACAAAGCAUGUAACAGAGGCCGUGUUGCCUCUGCUGCAAUCUUCCUCCGAGGGAAGAAUUGUGAACGUCUCCUCCAUAUUUGGGCUGCUAAGGCUUAUCAGCAACGAGAAGGUGAGGCGGGAGCUCAGUGACAUCGACAACAUGACAGAGGAGAGGCUGGACGAGCUGCUGAACAGGUUCCUCAGGGACUUCGAGGCCGACGCGCUGGAGGCGUGCGGGUGGCCCAUGGGGUGCUCGGCGUACAAGGUGGCCAAGGCCGCCAUGAACGCGUACUCGAGGAUGUUGGCGAGGAGGCACCCCGCGCUGCGCGUCAAUUGCGCGCACCCAGGCUACUCAAGACGGACAUAA